RNAcentral lists this ribosomal RNA (253 nucleotides) under uncultured bacterium. RNAcentral describes it as "partial 16S ribosomal RNA". It matches the Rfam family "Bacterial small subunit ribosomal RNA", at positions 524 to 776 of the family's 1533-position model. The record is from RNAcentral.
UACGGAGGGUGCGAGCGUUGUCCGGAAUCACUGGGCGUAAAGGGCGCGUAGGCGGCCUGAUAAGUAGGGGGUGAAAUCCUGCGGCUUAACCGCAGGGCUGCCUUCUAAACUGCCAGGCUUGAGCACAGUAGAGGCAGGUGGAAUUCCCGGUGUAGCGGUGGAAUGCGUAGAGAUCGGGAAGAACAUCAGUGGCGAAGGCGGCCUGCUGGGCUGUUGCUGACGCUGAGGCGCGACAGCGUGGGGAGCAAACAGG